RNAcentral lists this non-coding RNA (148 nucleotides) under Gorilla gorilla gorilla (western lowland gorilla). The record is from Rfam by way of RNAcentral. Lineage: Eukaryota; Metazoa; Chordata; Mammalia; Primates; Hominidae.
GCUGGGCAUGGUGGCGCGUGCCUGUAAUCCCAGCUACUCAGGAGGCUGAGGCAGGAGGAUUGCUUGAACCCGGGAGGUGGAGGUUGCAGUGAGCUGAGAGCGUGCCACUGCAUUCCAGCCUGGGCAACAGAGAGAGACUCUGUCUCAA